AAACCAGCACCUCAAGUGGUCAGGAUGAUUAUUGGGCCUAAAGCAUCCGUAGCCUGAUCUGUAAGUUUUCGGUUAAAUCUGUACGCUCAACGUACAGGCUGCCGGGAAUACUGCAGAUCUAGGGAGUGGGAGAGGUAGACGGUACUCGGGAGGAAGUGGUAAAAUGCUUUGAUCUCUCGAUGACCACCUGUGGCGAAGGCGGUCUACCAGAACACGACCGACGGUGAGGGAUGAAAGCUGGGGGAGCAAACCGGAUUAGAAACCCGAGUAGUCC
This 274-nucleotide ribosomal RNA is filed under the name uncultured bacterium. RNAcentral's name for it is "partial 16S ribosomal RNA". It matches the Rfam family "Archaeal small subunit ribosomal RNA", at positions 473 to 747 of the family's 1478-position model. The record is from RNAcentral.